Molecule: transfer RNA, 66 nt
Filed under: Cavia porcellus (domestic guinea pig)
Lineage: Eukaryota; Metazoa; Chordata; Mammalia; Rodentia; Caviidae
Rfam family: tRNA
About the family: Transfer RNA (tRNA) molecules are approximately 80 nucleotides in length. Their secondary structure includes four short double-helical elements and three loops (D, anti-codon, and T loops).
Source: Rfam by way of RNAcentral
GGGGAUUUAGCUCAGCGGCAUAAGCGCCUGCCUUACAAGCAGGCAGUCACAUGAGUUCAAUCCCCG